RNAcentral lists this ribosomal RNA (389 nucleotides) under uncultured bacterium. RNAcentral describes it as "bacterial SSU rRNA". It matches the Rfam family "Bacterial small subunit ribosomal RNA", at positions 28 to 412 of the family's 1533-position model. The record is from RNAcentral.
GAUGAACGCUAGCUACAGGCUUAACACAUGCAAGUCGAGGGGCAGCACAGUGUAGCAAUACAUGGGUGGCGACCGGCGCACGGGUGCGUAACGCGUAUCCAACCUUCCCGUUACUCUUGGAUAGCCUUCCGAAAGGGAGAUUAAUACAAGAUGGUAUUCAAAUUCCGCAUGUUAUUUGAAUUAAAGAUUUAUCGGUAACGGAUGGGGAUGCGUGACAUUAGAUAGUAGGCGGGGUAACGGCCCACCUAGUCUACGAUGUCUAGGGGUUCUGAGAGGAAGGUCCCCCACACUGGAACUGAGACACGGUCCAGACUCCUACGGGAGGCAGCAGUGAGGAAUAUUGGUCAAUGGUCGGAAGACUGAACCAGCCAAGUAGCGUGAAGGAUGAA